AUGUUGGGCAUGGCCGCGCCGGAGGGAAGGCGGAGGCGGCGGCGGCGGCAGAGCUCGAGCCGAGCUUCCCCAGCGGAGGCGGAAAGAGCGAGAGCGCGGGCGCGCGCGCGGGCUCCGGGAGCUGUUAUUUAUCUGCAUUGGUGACGCAAGGGGACAGGGCCAUCACGCCCUCAUCCGCAUGCAUCUCUUUCACGCGCAGAUGAGAGGGAUCCACUUGUGCGAUGACAUCUCCCACACUUGUAGCUUUGUGUUUUGAGUGAUGCCAUCAACUCAAAAGCUAGUCAUUAAAAGUUUGAAGUAGUCUGAGGUGCUGCACCUGCCCUGACCACUCUGCCAGUUUUUCUAGGCUUGUAAUCGGAUUUUCUGUUUUUUAAAAAGUAUUUCUCUCUCCCCUUCUGCUGUGUGUCCAUGCUGCUGGAGGGAUUAUACGCACAAAAUGCAGAGAGUAAACAAGAGAAAAAAGUGUGUUUGCCUAUCUUUCAGUUACAGUAUUACUUGUAACAACAAUAUGUAAAAAAAAAUCCAGGAGUUGGGCUUUAAGAAACACACCAGUUAUCACCAGACUUGCAAUAAAAUCUUCAGAGCUGGCAACAAGAUGACUUUUGAAGAUUUUUUAUUUUUUUAUUUUGUAAACUGCUGCAUCCAUUUACGGUGCUUUAUA
This is a long non-coding RNA of Mauremys reevesii (Reeves's turtle), 661 nucleotides long. RefSeq lists it as uncharacterized. NCBI's taxonomy places the organism in Eukaryota, Metazoa, Chordata, Testudines, Geoemydidae. The record is from RefSeq and is a predicted model, not a curated record. The transcript has 3 exons.